Molecule: ribosomal RNA, 270 nt
Filed under: Lepidotrigona ventralis
Lineage: Eukaryota; Metazoa; Arthropoda; Insecta; Hymenoptera; Apidae
Description: partial large subunit ribosomal RNA
Source: RNAcentral
UAUAGAAUUUUAUAUUAACUUUACCUAGCGGUUAAUGCUGGUCUUUUGUUAAUAUUUGGUUGGGAGGAUUAUUAAAUUUAACAAACUUUAUAUCAUUAUAAACUUUGAUUUAAGAAAAUAUAAUGACCUUCAAUUUGAAAUAGUUAGAGUAAAUUACCUUAGGGAUAACAGCGUAAUAUUUUUUUAUAGACCUUAUAGAAAAAAAUGGUUGCGACCUCGAUGUUGAAUUAAGAUAAAUUUUAAAUGCAGGAGUUUAAUAAUUAAGUCUGU